RNAcentral lists this ribosomal RNA (293 nucleotides) under uncultured bacterium. RNAcentral describes it as "partial 16S ribosomal RNA". It matches the Rfam family "Bacterial small subunit ribosomal RNA", at positions 775 to 1067 of the family's 1533-position model. The record is from RNAcentral.
GGAUUAGAUACCCUGGUAGUCCACGCCGUAAACGAUGUCUACUAGUUGUUGGGAGACUUGAUCUCUUAGUAACGAAGCUAACGCGAUAAGUAUCCCGCCUGGGGAGUACGGUCGCAAGGCUAAAACUCAAAGGAAUUGACGGGGGCCCGCACAAGCGGUGGAGUAUGUGGUUUAAUUCGAAGCAACGCGCAGAACCUUACCUGGCCUUGACAUCCCGGGACAACCUCAGAGAUGAGGCGUUCUCUUCGGAGACUCGGUGACAGAUGCUGCAUGGCUGUCGUCAGCUCGUGUCG